This is a non-coding RNA of Trichomonas vaginalis G3, 1029 nucleotides long. NCBI's taxonomy places the organism in Eukaryota, Parabasalia, Trichomonadida, Trichomonadidae. The record is from Rfam.
ACUACUGAAUGCUAAUGAUAGCGUACAGUGGGCUCCUGACCGGUAGCGUCAUGGCGAAAUGGGAUGACCAUACGUCUGAAUAAGGUGCCGAAAUGUACUAUCACUGAUACCAUAAAGGGAGUCCAUGUAUUUAGACAGCAGGUCGGUGCCCCUAAAAGCAGGUAUCCGCUAAAGAGUGUGUUAAAACUCACCUGCCGAAUACUAGGGCCCCGAAAAUGAAUGGCGCAUAUAGUACUACCGAUCUCAGACAUCAGUUCUAUUGAACUGAGAGUAGGGGGAUGUGGACAUUUUUGUGAAGGUGCAAUGUGAGUUGGACUGGAAGAAUGUCUAUUACAGAUCCUAAUUGAAGUAGCGAUUAUCCAGGCUUGUAUCCUGGGGGCUGAUGAGGAGUAGGGUUUCUGGACAACUUAAACAGAUCCAGAGUUAGUCGAUCCUAAUCUCAAUAAUGGGAGAAAGGGAGUACAGUUGAUAUUCUGUAACUGACAACAGUUCGCGGCAACGCAUACUAUUUUUCUCCGCCAAUCUUAUACCGUUGGUAGGGAUCUCUUUCCUACAUGACAGUACUAAUACCCAGGGAAACUGGUCAUCAGGCGAACUGCGGCGUUCUGCUGGCAAAACAUAGCUUCGGUUAUGUCAAUGGCUAUUGGAUUGGUCCAUGAAGCGAAAAAUAGUUUACUGUGUCACUCGUACCGAUAACCGCAUCAGGUCUUCUAGGUAAGUAGCCUAUGGCCAUUGAGGCAUGAUAGUUCAGGGAAUUCGGCCAAUUAGAGCUGUAACUUCGGGAUAAAGCUUGGCUCUGAUGAAAAUCAGAACCGAUUGUUACGCGGAGAGCCCAACUGUUUAAUAAAAACGUAGUGUCGCGCUGUGGUAGUAUAGCCAGUGAACGCGACAUGAAUCCUGCUCAGUGCUGUGUCUGUUAAUAUGGUUCAAGCCAACGAAGCACCGGUAAAUAGCUGGGGUAACUAUGACUCUUAUCAAAGUAGCGAAAUACCUCGUCACUUAAUUAGUGACCUGCAUGAACGGAGCUAU